This 249-nucleotide ribosomal RNA is filed under the name Triticum aestivum (bread wheat). RNAcentral describes it as "partial small subunit ribosomal RNA". The record is from RNAcentral. Lineage: Eukaryota; Viridiplantae; Streptophyta; Magnoliopsida; Poales; Poaceae.
AUGGCGUACUCCUCCUGUUUGAAUCAGAGUUUGAAACCAAACAAACUUCUCCUCAGGAGGAUAGAUGGGGCGAUUCAGGUGAGAUCCCAUGUAGAUUUAACUUUCUAUUCACUUGUGGGAUCCGGGCAGUCCGGGGGGGGGAGGGGGGGCAGCACGGUUGAGGUUCGUUCUCAAUGGGAAAAUGGAGCACCUAACAAUGCAUCUUCACAGACCAAAAACUACGAGAUCACCCCUUUCAUUCUGGGGUGA